Molecule: ribosomal RNA, 1023 nt
Filed under: Triticum aestivum (bread wheat)
Lineage: Eukaryota; Viridiplantae; Streptophyta; Magnoliopsida; Poales; Poaceae
Description: partial small subunit ribosomal RNA
Source: RNAcentral
AUGGCAGCCGAGCCGCUCUCCAAUGGCGCCACCCACCUGUUGGUGCCUGGACGCUACAUACUCCCGGUCCACAAGAGGCCGUCUUCUUCCGUGAAUGGCAAGGGGGCGCUGCCUGUGGUUGAUCUCGGCGGAGACGACGACGGCAGGAUCGCCGAGGAGAUCGUCCGUGCAGGGCGGGAGUUCGGUUUCUUCCAGGUGGUCAACCACGGCGUGCCGGAGGAGGUGAUGGGCGCCAUGAUGCGCGCCGCGGAGGAGUUCUUUGCACUGCCAGCGGAUGAGAAGAUGGCGUACUACUCGAACGACCGCAAGAAGCUCCCGCGGUUCCACACGAGCCUCCGGAACGGUACCGGCGAGGAGGUCCUGUACUGGCGGGACUGCCUCAAGCUCGGCUGCCACCAGCCCGAGUGGCUGGACAAGCCGCGCGGGCUCGGGGCGGCGCUGGAGCCGUACACGGCCGCCGUGAGGGCAGCGGCGCGGCGCGUUCUGCGCCUCACCGCUAUCGGGCUGGGGCUCGAGGAGGGACACUUCGAUGGGUCGCUCAGCGGCAGUGGGUUGAUGAACGUGAACCACUACCCGCCGUGCCCGGACCCGAGCCUCACCCUUGGCGCCGGGCCGCACUGCGACCCCGGCCUCGUCACCGUGCUCAUGGAGAACGUCGGCGGCGGCCUACAGAUGCUGCUCCACGGCGACGGAGACGCUGGGGGCGGCGGGGUGAUGUGGGUGGACGUGGACGCCGCGCCGGGGGCGCUGGUCCUCAACUUUGGGCAUCAGAUGGAGGUGGUCAGCAACGGGCGCUUGCGCAGUGCCGAGCACCGCGUCGUCACCAGCGCGCGCGGCGCGCGGACCUCGCUGGCCACGUUCGUGUGGCCCGAGCCGGGGUGCACUGUCGCGCCGGCGCAGGAGCUGGUGCUGGCAGCAGGCGAGGGGCCUCUAUACAAGCCCCACUCCUACGGCGAAUUUCUCGGUGCGUACCUUGCCGAGGGUGGGGUCAAGGAAGCCGCCAUGGCGCAUCUCAAGCACUGA